Molecule: long non-coding RNA, 3656 nt
Organism: Nerophis ophidion (straightnose pipefish)
Lineage: Eukaryota; Metazoa; Chordata; Actinopteri; Syngnathiformes; Syngnathidae
Exons: 6
Source: RefSeq, a predicted model, not a curated record
CUCUCUUAGAAUUAAAAAUGUCGAGCAAAGCGAGACCAGCUUCCUAGUAAAUAAAUAACAUUUAAAAAAAUAGAGGCAGCUCACUGGUAAGUGCUGCUAUUUGAGCUAUUUUUAGAACAGGCCAGCGGGCGACUCAUCUGGUUCUUACGGGCUACCUGGUGUUAGUGACCCCUGUAUUACACUAUGUGUGUGCUUUUUUAAGACCUACUCUAAGCCUUAAUGUUAUUUAUUUGUAAAAGUCAGGCAAUUCCAACGAACUUCCGGUUUUCAUUUGUUUUGCAGCGGAAAUUCCUUAUAUGGGCAAUCUCUUAUUAGCACCUGUGCCUCGUUAGUUUCGCCCGGAAAGUGAUGCCGAAAGCGGGCCUAAAAAGAGUCCUCUCCCCCGGGGACUGACCUGUGGUGGUGAGCACGGUGCUGGUGAAGAACAAGGAGGACAUGAAGUCCCAGUUCCGCUGGCUGCUUCCUCCCAGGACGGACACGCCGUAGUUGUUGGCCUCCAAGGCCCGCGCCAGCAGCGCCUGGAGGUCGUCCUCCGACACGCAGGUGUUGUUGCGGAUGAAGUCCCGCUGGGAGGCCUCCAGCUCGGCCCGCAGCUCCACCUCGUAGGGCAGCUCGAUGGCGGAGAAGACCCCGGCACCGACGAGCAGAUCUCCUUCUGUCGUCUGACUGCCUCCCUCGUUCCUCGACUCCUCGCUCGCCCCUGACCCUGCCUGCCCCAUGGACUGCCUCGUUCCUUCGCUCUCGUCAACACUUGCUGUCCUUGCGUGCGUCAUUACGUCACGUGACCGUGUGCGUCAUCACGUCAUGCUGUCACGUGAUCUAGCGCGGGAAGUGUAAAACCCAGUAGUGGGCUACUUCCAGAAAGAGCGAGAAGGAGGUGCCAGGUUGCUGCAGGAGACGACUACUGGAGCCGUGGGUCGUCAAGCGAGUGUUUAAGUGGAAUUGGGGUCACGGGGGGCGCUGGCGCCUAUCUCAGCUACAAUCGGGCGGAAGGCGGGGUACACCCUGGACAAGUCGCCACCUCAUCGCAGGGCCAACACAGAUAGACAAAAAACAUUCACACUCACAUUCACACACUAGGGCCAAUUUAGUGUUGCCAAUCAACCUAUCCCCAGGUGCAUGUCUUUGGAAGUGGGAGGAAGCCGGAGUACCCGGAGGGAACCCACGCAUUCACGGGGAGAACAUGCAAACUCCACACGGGAAGAUCCCGAGCCUGGAUUUGAACCCAGGACUGCAGGAACUUCGUAUUGUGAGGCAGACGCACUAACCCCUCUGCCACCGUGAAGCCCACUUGAAAACUCAACUCAGAAUUAUCCUAGUAAAUUUGUCUAAUAACAUCUGAAUCGCUCCCACUGUAUAAUCUUUUUUUUCCCUUUUUUUUUUUUCUUUUCUAGUUCUUCACUCUCACUUUCCUCAUCCACGAAUCUUUCACCCUCGCUCAAAUUAAUGGGGAAAUCGUCGCUUUAUUUCCAUUAAAUUCCCAUUCAACUGAAUGGACGUGUUUAUAGUUCAACAAUACCUUUGUCAGGCUUGUCCCUCCAUAUAGUCAUUACAAUUCAAUAGGGGGGUAGCGGUACACAAAAUUUCGGUUCGAUACGAACUUCGGUUUAGAGGUCACGGUUCGGUUCAUUUUCGGUACAGUAAGAAAUCAACAAAAUAUAAAUUUUUUGCUUAUUUAUUUGCCAAAUUUGUAAACAAUGGCUUUAUCCUUUUAACAUUGGGAACACUAUAAUAAUUCUGCCCACGUUAAUCCACAUUAAAUUGCCUCAAGUUGUUGCUUUGAUUAAAUAAAAUGAAAAAAACUUUCUUCUACAUAUAAAAAGUUUAACAAUAAACAGUUUCCAUUGAAACUGUUUGUCAACUCAUCAUGCUCAACUUAUUACAGCAUUUGGGAAGCCUGUAGUUGACUUGUAUUAUGUAAAUGUUGUAUUUUUGUCAACAUGUGAUAGCAGGGACCCUGCUAUUCAAAAUUAGGCUGCUACAUUACUAAUGAUUCAUUUAACUAUAGCUGAAAAAAUAGUACAAUUGCAAUAGUAGAGACUAUUCAUCCCUAAAAACAAUGGAGUUCAAUGAAAUAACAGACAGACAUGGCUUUGCUGCCCCUAAAACACGCAUGCACACACACACACAAAAAUGAGCUAACGUUAUGCUAAAAGCUAAUUAGCCUUCAUCUCAAGCCUAUACUGUGAGCGAGCUGAGCUGCAGUUUACGUUUCUAGAAGGUCAAUGGGCUCAAAGUGAUGUUUGUAAUAGUUGUGACUGGGAAGUGUUUAGUAUAAUUUGGGUAGAGUCCGGUCCUCCCCUACUAGACGAAUAUCUGCUCGACGCUAAAGCAUUGACUACAUCGUUCUGACGUCUGAAUACGCACUGCUGAUUGGCUGUUACAUCGCUCUGAAUACGCACUGCUGAUUGGCUUUGUAUGUAACCAAUCAGAUGGUUCCAGUACUCUGGAAUGCCCUCCCGGUAACAGUUCGAGAUGCCACCUCAGUAGAAGCAUUUAAGUCUCACCUUAAAACUCAUUUGUAUACUCUAGCCUUUAAAUAGACUCCCUUUUUAGACCAGUUGAUCUGCCGUUUCUUUUCUUUUUCUUCUAUGUCCCACUCUCCCUUGUGGAGGGGGUCCGGUCCGAUCCGGUGGCCAUGUACUGCUUGCCUGUGUAUCGGCUGGGGACAUCUCUGCGCUGCUGAUCCGCCUCCGCUUGGGAUGGUUUCCUGUGAACGGGACUCUCGCUGCUGUGUUGGAUCCGCUUUGGACUGGACUCUCGCGACUGUGUUGGAUCCAUUGUGGACUGAACUUUCACAGUAUCAUGUUAGACCCGCUCGACAUCCAUUGCUUUCCUCCUCUCCAAGGUUCUCAUAGUCAUCAUUGUCACCGACGUCCCACUGGGUGUGAGUUUUCCUUGCCCUUAUGUGGGCCUACCGAGGAUGUCGUGGUGGUUUGUGCAGCCCUUUGAGACACUAGUGAUUUAGGGCUAUAUAAGUAAACAUUGAUUGAUUGUGUGGGCAGGACAAUGAGGCAGACACAGAGGCAGAAAGCAGAGCAGCUUGUGAAGACUUCUGCUUCCGAACUUGUUCGGUACGCCCGCGUGCCGAACCGAAACUCCCGUACCGAAACGGUUCAAUACAAAUACACGUACCGUUACACCCCUACAAUUCAACAGCUUCCUACCGUCUCCGUCGAUGUCAAUACUGCAGGCGUCCCCCUCGCCGUCGCCAUCGGUAUCCGUCUGCAGCGAGUUGCUAUCAAAGGGACAGUUGUCACAGCGGUCCCCGAUGCUAUCCCGGUCGGUAUCGAACUGUCGAGGGUUGUACACCAGCGGGCAGUUGUCCUGCAAAACACACAUAAGCGUGUAGUAUUUUAGGAAUCCAAAUGGAAGUGGUUAAUAACACACUUGUUCAUCAACGAUGUCAUCAUUAUCGUCGUCGGGAUCACAGGCGUCGCCUCGCCCGUCCUUGUCCAGGUCCUCCUGUCCUGAGUUUGGCACCGCGGGACAGUUAUCCUGCAACCAAUCACGGCAGUCUGUGGUUGGGCCAGCCGUCCAGAUCGCCGUCCUCACCGCAGAGAAAACCGUCGCCCGCAAAGCCGACCGCGCACACACACUUGUACAGGACCUCCGACGCCAAGCCCAGGUACGUACAGCCUGCGUGCUUGUGGCAG